This 513-nucleotide ribosomal RNA is filed under the name Salmonella enterica. RNAcentral's name for it is "partial 23S ribosomal RNA". It matches the Rfam family "Bacterial large subunit ribosomal RNA", at positions 2218 to 2730 of the family's 2925-position model. Lineage: Bacteria; Pseudomonadati; Pseudomonadota; Gammaproteobacteria; Enterobacterales; Enterobacteriaceae. The record is from RNAcentral. RNAcentral also lists the same sequence under 1 other name.
UGUUCUAACGUGGACCCGUGAUCCGGGUUGCGGACAGUGUCUGGUGGGUAGUUUGACUGGGGCGGUCUCCUCCUAAAGAGUAACGGAGGAGCACGAAGGUUGGCUAAUCCUGGUCGGACAUCAGGAGGUUAGUGCAAUGGCAUAAGCCAGCUUGACUGCGAGCGUGACGGCGCGAGCAGGUGCGAAAGCAGGUCAUAGUGAUCCGGUGGUUCUGAAUGGAAGGGCCAUCGCUCAACGGAUAAAAGGUACUCCGGGGAUAACAGGCUGAUACCGCCCAAGAGUUCAUAUCGACGGCGGUGUUUGGCACCUCGAUGUCGGCUCAUCACAUCCUGGGGCUGAAGUAGGUCCCAAGGGUAUGGCUGUUCGCCAUUUAAAGUGGUACGCGAGCUGGGUUUAGAACGUCGUGAGACAGUUCGGUCCCUAUCUGCCGUGGGCGCUGGAGAACUGAGGGGGGCUGCUCCUAGUACGAGAGGACCGGAGUGGACGCAUCACUGGUGUUCGGGUUGUCAUGCC